GAAAAAUCGUGAGUGCGUUCAACGGCGCGGUGAUUUAUUAUACAGCGAAUAUUUCCCUCUUGGCUUGUGGACUAUUCGGCAAUGCCGCGUCUGGGCUGCCUGUCCUUCCCCAUGUAGUGGCUGGAGCAGCUAGAGAGAUUGUGAGGAAAUCAGAGGAAACAUAUUAACUGUGAGCCCAAACCCAGGAUCAGGAUCAAAUCAGGGACCCUGGAGCUGGCAAAGCUGUCUGCUGCACAACCAUGCCACAGUAGAUGAGAAGAUUGAGUGUAAAUUACGCCUGUGAGGUUCUGAAGACUAUCUAAAAACAAGAAUUUGAGUAAAGUAAAGGAAAAGGUCAUAUCCCAGGGGACUUGGGUCACAAGGCAAGGGGACACCCUGAAACUAACCCAUCACUGCAAAGGCACACGCAUACACCUGUUUACAAAAAAUGAACAAUUUAUAGAUGCAAGCAGCCUACAACACAUGUUUUUUGGACUGUUGGAUGAAACCAGAAAACCCAGAGGAAAAUUAUUGAACAUACACAGGAGUUGCAAGGCAUACAUGCUUAUUACUAAACCCAAUGUGUUAAUAUGGUUUUAGUCAAACUGUAUCAGUGAUAAAUGACAGAUAUUCUAUGCUUUGUGUAUUUUUAUUCCUUGUAUCUGCUCUGAAUGUAUAAAAUAAUGCAAUUCAGUGGAGACAGACUGCUGAAGUGGGAUGUUGUUUAACUCAAUUGAGAUUGACCUCAAUAUCUAGAAGCAUUCAGGGUGUUCCUGAGGUCCAGGGUGUGUGACUUCCUCUGAGACUGUUAUAAUCCAGUUUCUUCACUGCAUACUCAUUCUUACUGUUUCCUCAAUAGCUGGAAGCAAUUGUCCUGUUUCCUUCAGCGAAAGAAACAAAACGCAGGUAGAAGUUAAUAACGUUCCACCAUUUCUGGCCAGACUGUUGAGCAGAGAGACAAAAUCCUGUGACAAGUGACAUGUUUGUGCAGCGUUGUUGCCGUAUAACCAACUCGAGUGUAAAACAAGCCAUUGGGUGCAUGUGAGUUUCCUCUGAGUCACGAGUAUCAGGUGACAUGUGAGCAUUUCCCCUGAGGAGGGCAGCUGAAGCUGCGGCCAAGAAAACUGUCCACAGCCAAACCAGUACUACAGAAUGAUUAGUGUACAAAAGCACACUGUCCAUAAAUCAGUAAAUAAAACAUUACUGAAUGGCAAAAUA
Tachysurus fulvidraco (yellow catfish) is the source of this 1197-nucleotide long non-coding RNA. RefSeq lists it as uncharacterized. The record is from RefSeq and is a predicted model, not a curated record. Lineage: Eukaryota; Metazoa; Chordata; Actinopteri; Siluriformes; Bagridae. The transcript is spliced from 2 exons.